AGCGAACAUUGGCGGUAGGCUUAACACAUGCAAGUCGAGCGAGGCGUAAUAGUCGAGCGGCGAACGGGUGAGUAAUACAUGGGAAUCUACCUCGAAGUGGGGGAUAACGUUCAGAAAUGGACGCUAAUACCGCAUAAUCCAUAUUGGGAAAGCGCGCUGCGCUUUGAGAUGAGCCCAUGGCUGAUUAGCUUGUUGGUGAGGUAAAAGCUCACCAAGGCGACGAUCAGUAGCUGGUCUGAGAGGACGAUCAGCCACAUUGGGACUGAGACACGGCCCAAACUCCUACGGGAGGCAGCAGUGGGGAAUCUUGCGCAAUGGGCGAAAGCCUGACGCAGCCUUGCCGCGUGAAUGAUGAAGGUCUUAGGAUUGUAAAAUUCUUUCACCGGGGACGAUAAUGACGGUACCCGGAGAAGAAGCCCCGGCUAACUUCGUGCCAGCCGCCGCGGUAA
RNAcentral lists this ribosomal RNA (449 nucleotides) under uncultured bacterium. Its description in RNAcentral is "partial 16S ribosomal RNA". It matches the Rfam family "Bacterial small subunit ribosomal RNA", at positions 29 to 523 of the family's 1533-position model. The record is from RNAcentral.